GGAGUGUGACGAUGUCGUCGGUGAUGUGGAGAGUCAAGUUUCCGUUUCAGCCACAGCGUGCUUUAGGUCACGUAGUUGAUGAAGGCGUUCUGGAGCAGGACCAGAAAGACCACGACCAAGCAGCCUUGAGAUCUUAGGCAGCAUCUCCCUCAGGUCCCUCUCUAUCUCCCCACACAUCCACCAACCACUGGAACACAUCUCCAAAGUUCUGCUGGGCCAGCUCAGCUUCCCCUCAGAAGAAGUGCUGCCACCUGCCAGAUGAAGGAGCCUUUUGAGAGGCAGCUGGCAUCGUGAUUGGACUGUACUUUGGUCUGUUCCAGUCCAGCUUCAGCUCCAGAGACGGCAGGCGGGACGAGUCAACGGAGGCCUGGUGGACGAAGGCAUGAAGCUGAGUACAAUCCAGAAAACAACAGAGGAGGAGUGCAGCAGCCCAGAGCCAGAACAAGCAGAGUAGCAUCACCAAAGAACUACAGACUCUUCACAACCUGCUCAAACUCUUGGUACAGGACCUCACCACACGGGUCAAGAAGGUUUCCGUCUCAUUUCUACUCUGAAGCUCACCUUCUCCUGCUCAAACUGCUGACAAAUGUUUCUGCUGCUCUAAAGUCUGGUCUCCAGAACUUCCUAAAAACUCUCAAAGUCUCUUCUGCUGCAGGUUGCUUUGUAGAACUGUUCCAGAAAACCUCACUAAACCAC
This is a long non-coding RNA of Amphiprion ocellaris (clown anemonefish), 696 nucleotides long. Lineage: Eukaryota; Metazoa; Chordata; Actinopteri; Pomacentridae. The record is from Ensembl.